CAUUACUAGUAUUAGAGGCACCGCCUGCCCAGUGACAUUAGUUAAACGGCCGCGGUAUCCUGACCGUGCAAAGGUAGCAUAAUCAUUUGUUCCUUAAUUAGGGACUUGUAUGAAUGGCCUCACGAGGGUUUAACUGUCUCUUACUUUUAAUCAGUGAAAUUGACCUUCCCGUGAAGAGGCGGGAAUACAAAAAUAAGACGAGAAGACCCUAUGGAGCUUAAAUUGUAUGUUCAACAAAAUUCUGGCCCUACCCGAUAGGAAAUAAUUAUAAUUUAACUGAACAACAAAUUUUGGUUGGGGUGACCUCGGAGCACAACAGAACCUCCGAGUGAUUUUACCAAGACUAACCCGUCAAGGUUACUUAACUUAUUGAUCCAAUCAUAUUGAUCAACGAAACAAGUUACCCUAGGGAUAACAGCGCAAUCCUAUUAGAGAGUUCGUAUCGACAAUAGGGUUUACGACCUCGAUGUUGGAUCAGGACACCCAAAUGGUGCAGCAGCUAUUAAAGGUUCGU
RNAcentral lists this ribosomal RNA (514 nucleotides) under Crocidura crenata. Its description in RNAcentral is "partial 16S ribosomal RNA". It matches the Rfam family "Bacterial large subunit ribosomal RNA", at positions 1835 to 2576 of the family's 2925-position model. Lineage: Eukaryota; Metazoa; Chordata; Mammalia; Eulipotyphla; Soricidae. The record is from RNAcentral.